RNAcentral lists this ribosomal RNA (253 nucleotides) under uncultured bacterium. RNAcentral describes it as "partial 16S ribosomal RNA". It matches the Rfam family "Bacterial small subunit ribosomal RNA", at positions 524 to 776 of the family's 1533-position model. The record is from RNAcentral.
UCCGGAGGGUGCAAUCGUUGUCCGGAUUUAUUGGGUUUAAAGGGUGCGUAGGUGGCUUUUUAAGUCAUGGGUGAAAGCCCGCAGCUCAACUGUGGAAUUGCCUGUGAUACUGAAUAGCUUGAGUGCGGUUGAGGCAGCUGGAAUUGGUGGUGUAGCGGUGAAAUGCAUAGAUACCACCAGGAACACCGAUUGCGAAGGCAGGUUGCUAAGCCGUAACUGACACUGAGGCACGAAAGCGUGGGGAUCAAACAGG